AUGAAGACCUUCCUCGUCUUUGCCCUUCUAGCCGUUGUGGCGACAUGUGCCAUUGCGCAGAUGGAGACUAGGUGCAUCCCUGGUUUGGAGAGACCAUGGCAGCAACAACCAUUACAACCACAACAGAUAUUUCCACAACAACCACCAUUUUCACAACAACAACAACAACAACCAUUUCCUCAACAACCACCAUUUUUAGCACCAACCAUCAUUUUCGCAGCAACUACUAUUUUCACAACAACAACGACAACCACUUCUACCGCAACAACCAGCAUUUUCGUAGCAACAACAAACAGUUCUACCGCAACAACCAGCAUUUUCUCAACAACAACACCAACAACUUCUGCACCAACAAAUCCCUAUUGUUCAUCCAUCCGUUUUGCAGCAGCUAAACCCAUGCAAGGUAUUCCUCCAGCAGCAAUGUAGCCCUGUGGCAAUGCCACAACGUCUUGCUAGGUCGCAGAUGUGGCAGCAGAGCAGUUGCCAUGUGAUGCGGCAACAAUGUUGCCAACAAUUGCCGCGAAUCCCUGAACAAUCCCGCUAUGUGGCAAUCCGUGCUAUCAUCUUGUCCAUCAUCCUGCAAGAACAACAAUAGGGUUUUGUCCAACCUCAGCAGCAACAACCCCAACAGUCGGUUCAAGGUGUCUACCAACCCCAACAGCAGUCGCAGCAGCAGCUCGGACAAUGUUCUUUCCAACAACCUCAACAACAACUGGGUCAACAGCCUCAACAACAACAUGUACAAUAGGGUACUUGCAGCCACACCAGAUAGCUCGCCUCGAGGUGAUGACUUCCAUUGCCCUCAGUACCCUGCCAACGAUGUGCAGUGUUAAUGUGCCGUUGUACAGCUCCAUCACUAGUGUGCCAUUCGGUGUUGGCAGCGGAGUUGGUGCCUACUGAUAA
This 903-nucleotide ribosomal RNA is filed under the name Triticum aestivum (bread wheat). RNAcentral describes it as "partial small subunit ribosomal RNA". Lineage: Eukaryota; Viridiplantae; Streptophyta; Magnoliopsida; Poales; Poaceae. The record is from RNAcentral.